This is an RNA transcript of Cannabis sativa, 1897 nucleotides long. RefSeq lists it as uncharacterized. The record is from RefSeq and is a predicted model, not a curated record. Lineage: Eukaryota; Viridiplantae; Streptophyta; Magnoliopsida; Rosales; Cannabaceae. The transcript is spliced from 2 exons.
AAAAAUAAAAGAUAAUGACAAACAAACCUUAUUUUGCAAAUUUCAGUUUGAGAAUGGCAUUUUGGCAAAUUCUCCUCUCUGGUCUCUCUUUCUCGCCUCUGUCUCACACACACUUCCCCCCUCUCUCUCCCGAAUUUUGAAACUUUGUUUUCGGGUUUGGAAUAAAAGUUGAAUUGAAGCUCUACACGAAUUAAGUCUGUGGACUUUUUUUGAACUGUAUUCUGUAUACCUCUCUCUCUAGGGUUUUGUUCUAAUGGAGCCUCUAGAAUUUGUUAUCGACAAAUUCAGAGGUUUGGGUCAAUGGACUCAAGGCGUCAUUGAUAGCUUCAUUCACUGCCCCCGUCGGAACACUCCAGUUGAAAUAUUGAAGAGGCUACAACGAGAAGCUUUUUCGGAUUUGAUGAAGCUCAGGGACAGGCAAGACAAGGUAGAAAGAAUUCUUUCCUUGUAUAAGACUGCUAAAGGGAGUCCAUUUCAAGAAGUGGGUACUGUUCUAAGAGGGGAUGUUAAUUUCAUGGGAGGUUUGCUGAUGAUGAUGAACAGUGUCGAUUCACAUGAGGAUGGUAACAACUACAAUGUACUUGAUAAAGCUGGUCUCAGAACUGGACUUGAUAUGAGGUUCACUUUUGAAACCACAAUCCAGGAUAAUGAUUCCCUUGUUGUCGAGUUUUUAAGCUCUCAAAAUCCCAACAACAAUAACGAUUGUCAGGGAUUAGGAAGCUCACUUUCUUUAUCAAAGCUCUGCUAUACAGCUAAUGCUAGUGACUGGCUAUCAGCAUUUGUUAUCCCCUUGGGUGGGAAAGGCAGAGAUGUUGCAAUUCUCAAAGACCCUUCUCAUCAGGGUAAGGGCCUAACUGAUAUUUCAUCUUCCGGACCAUCUCUUUUGAAUCAGCCAAGUGGUAGUGCAAUUGGAUUAAUGGUGAAGAAAUCAAAUAUCAUUGCUUCAUUGGCUCAGUUUGUUUCUGGGCAGGUAAUGCAUUUGGAUUCUCAUAGCUUUGGCCAUUGUUUUAGCACAUUUGGGCAAGUUUUGUAUCAACUUCCAAGAGGAACAAAGCUCUCGGUCAUGGGACUUUUGCAAUCACCAAAAUUAGCAUGCCAAUUACCUGCCUCUUAUGGACCGUUCACCCUCUCUUUAGGUGGUUCUAAACAUCAGGAAACUCCUGAGGGAAUGGUUGAGAAUUUAGUUUCCACCAUUGGAAAUAGCUCACAGGGAAAUGUACCAACUGGGUCCGUUGCUUUGAUGUUGGAGUCAGAAAUUGACGAGUUCACUAAGAUUGGUGGCUGGAUUGAGCUUAAGAACUCGGAUCCCAGAUAUCUAAAAUGGGGGGCGAGUUUGUCGGAUGAUUCUGAAGAUUCAUUUGGAUGGGGAAUGAAGUUUGGUGGGAUGAUUGAAGGUCCCUCAAAUUUUGAUCAUUUUCAGGUUGAAACUUACAUGAAAUUGAACUUUGGAAAGAAAUUCAGUAUAAAGCCUGGGAUUGCUUAUAUAAUGGAUGGGAAUGCUAGAGUAACUGCACUCAUGCUUCGGUCUAAUUGGUCACUUUGACCACCAUCUUCAGCUCGAGUAUAGGUCCAUUGUUUGAAAUAUCAAAUCCAGUCUGCACUGCAGGAUAUUACAGUGGGGCUCUAUGUCUGAAGGGUUCUGAGUCAGUUGAGGUCUGGACUGCAUUGGAUUGACUCUUCAAUUACUCGCUUCCAUAUUACUUCUUGGAGAAUGGUCUUGAGAGACUCUUUGUUUCUGGUCUAAAUGACCUCUUUCGAAUCAGGAUGAGUCGGCCUUGGCAGUCCUAGCAAAUUGUAGCUUAUGCCUAGACUGAAGUUUUGUUUGACUUAGUUGUUGGGCCCAAGUUUGGGCCUUCCUUGAUCGAUACUGGACUUUAAAAUUGUACACAUCACGAGU